This 468-nucleotide ribosomal RNA is filed under the name uncultured bacterium. Its description in RNAcentral is "partial 16S ribosomal RNA". It matches the Rfam family "Bacterial small subunit ribosomal RNA", at positions 28 to 507 of the family's 1533-position model. The record is from RNAcentral.
GACGAACGCUGGCGGCGUGCUUAACACAUGCAAGUCGAACGGAAAGGCCCUGCUUUUGUGGGGUGCUCGAGUGGCGAACGGGUGAGUAGCACGUGAGUAACCUGCCCUUGACUUUGGGAUAACUUCAGGAAACUGGGGCUAAUACCGGAUAGGAGCUCCUGCUGCAUGGGGGGGGUUGGAAAGUUUCGGCGGUUGGGGAUGGACUCGCGGCUUAUCAGCUUGUUGGUGGGGUAGUGGCUUACCAAGGCUUUGACGGGUAGCCGGCCUGAGAGGGUGACCGGCCACAUUGGGACUGAGAUGCGGCCCAGACUCCUACGGGAGGCCGCAGUGGGGAAUAUUGCACAAUGGGCGGCAGCCUGAUGCAGCAACGCCGCGUGCGGGAUGACGGCCUUCGGGUUGUAAACCGCUUUCGCCUGUGACGAAGCGUGAGUGACGGUAAUGGGUACAGAAGCCCCGGCUAACUACGUG